This 398-nucleotide ribosomal RNA is filed under the name uncultured bacterium. RNAcentral describes it as "partial 16S ribosomal RNA". It matches the Rfam family "Bacterial small subunit ribosomal RNA", at positions 523 to 918 of the family's 1533-position model. The record is from RNAcentral.
AUACGUAGGGUGCGAGCGUUGUCCGGAAUUACUGGGCGUAAAGAGCUCGUAGGUGGUUUGUCGCGUCGUCUGUGAAAUUCCGGGGCUUAACUCCGGGCGUGCAGACGAUACGGGCAUAACUUGAGUACUGUAGGGGAGACUGGAAUUCCUGGUGUAGCGGUGUAAUGCGCAGAUAUCAGGAGGAACACCGGUGGCGAAGGGGGGUCUCUGGGCAGUAACUGACGCUGAGGAGCGAAAGCAGGGGUAGCGAACAGGAUUAGAUACCCUGGUAGUCCAUGCCGUAAACGGUGGGCGCUAGGUGUAGGGGUCUUCCACGACUUCUGUGCCGUAGCUAACGCAUUAAGCGCCCCGCCUGGGGAGUACGGCCGCAAGGCUAAAACUCAAAGGAAUUGACGGGG